This 253-nucleotide ribosomal RNA is filed under the name uncultured bacterium. RNAcentral describes it as "partial 16S ribosomal RNA". It matches the Rfam family "Bacterial small subunit ribosomal RNA", at positions 524 to 776 of the family's 1533-position model. The record is from RNAcentral.
UACGGAGGGGGCGAGCGUUAUUCGGAAUUAUUGGGCGUAAAGGGCGCGUAGGCGGCUUGAUGUGUCAAAGGUGAAAUCCCUCGGCUCAACUGAGGAACUGCCUUUGAAACUGUCUGGCUUGAGGCCGGGAGAGGGUAGCGGAAUUCCCAGUGUAGCGGUGAAAUGCGUAGAUACUGGGAGGAACACCGGUGGCGAGGGCGGCUACCUGGACCGGUUCUGACGCUGAUGCGCGAAAGCGUGGGUAGCAAACAGG